This 541-nucleotide ribosomal RNA is filed under the name uncultured bacterium. RNAcentral's name for it is "partial 16S ribosomal RNA". It matches the Rfam family "Bacterial small subunit ribosomal RNA", at positions 355 to 888 of the family's 1533-position model. The record is from RNAcentral.
UGGGGAAUUUUGGACAAUGGGCGAAAGCCUGAUCCAGCAAUGCCGCGUGUGUGAAGAAGGCCUUCGGGUUGUAAAGCACUUUUGUCCGGAAAGAAAUCCUUGGCUCUAAUACAGUCGGGGGAUGACGGUACCGGAAGAAUAAGCACCGGCUAACUACGUGCCAGCAGCCGCGGUAAUACGUAGGGUGCAAGCGUUAAUCGGAAUUACUGGGCGUAAAGCGUGCGCAGGCGGUUUGCUAAGACCGAUGUGAAAUCCCCGGGCUCAACCUGGGAACUGCAUUGGUGACUGGCAGGCUAGAGUAUGGCAGAGGGGGGUAGAAUUCCACGUGUAGCAGUGAAAUGCGUAGAGAUGUGGAGGAAUACCGAUGGCGAAGGCAGCCCCCUGGGCCAAUACUGACGCUCAUGCACGAAAGCGUGGGGGAGCAAACAGGAUUCAGAUACCCUGGUAGUCCACGCCCUAAACGAUGUCAACUAGUUGUGGGGAUUCAUUUCCUUAGUAACGCAGCUAACGCGUGAAGUUGACCGCCUGGGGAGUACGGUCG